UACCAGCACCCCGAGUUGUCGGGACGAUUAUUGGGCCUAAAGCAUCCGUAGCCGGUUCUACAAGUCUUCCGUUAAAUCCACCUGCUUAACAGAUGGGCUGCGGAGGAUACUAUAGAGCUAGGAGGCGGGAGAGGCAAGCGGUACUUAGUGGGUAGGGGUAAAAUCCGUUGAUCCAUUGAAGACCACCAGUGGCGAAGGCGGCUUGCCAGAACGCACUCGACGGUGAGGGAUGAAAGCUGGGGGAGCAAACCGG
Molecule: ribosomal RNA, 253 nt
Filed under: uncultured bacterium
Lineage: Bacteria
Description: partial 16S ribosomal RNA
Rfam family: Archaeal small subunit ribosomal RNA
Source: RNAcentral